RNAcentral lists this ribosomal RNA (497 nucleotides) under uncultured bacterium. Its description in RNAcentral is "partial 16S ribosomal RNA". It matches the Rfam family "Bacterial small subunit ribosomal RNA", at positions 28 to 507 of the family's 1533-position model. The record is from RNAcentral.
GAUGAACGCUGGCGGCGUGCCUAAUACAUGCAAGUCGAGCGAACAGACGAGGAGCUUGCUCCUCUGACGUUAGCGGCGGACGGGUGAGUAACAUGUGGAUAACCUACCUAUAAGACUGGGAUAACUUCGGGAAACCGGAGCUAAUACCGGAUAAUAUAUUGAACCGCAUGGUUCAAUAGUGAAAGACGGUUUUGCUGUCACUUAUAGAUGGAUCCGCGCCGCAUUAGCUAGUUGGUAAGGUAACGGCUUACCAAGGCAACGAUGCGUAGCCGACCUGAGAGGGUGAUCGGCCACACUGGAACUGAGACACGGUCCAGACUCCUACGGGAGGCAGCAGUAGGGAAUCUUCCGCAAUGGGCGAAAGCCUGACGGAGCAACGCCGCGUGAGUGAUGAAGGUCUUCGGAUCGUAAAACUCUGUUAUCAGGGAAGAACAAAUGUGUAAGUAACUAUGCACGUCUUGACGGUACCUAAUCAGAAAGCCACGGCUAACUACGUG